This 275-nucleotide ribosomal RNA is filed under the name uncultured bacterium. RNAcentral's name for it is "partial 16S ribosomal RNA". It matches the Rfam family "Bacterial small subunit ribosomal RNA", at positions 523 to 796 of the family's 1533-position model. The record is from RNAcentral.
CCACGUAGGGAGCAAGCGUUGUCCGGAUUUAUUGGGCGUAAAGAGCUCGUAGGCGGUUUUGUAAGUCGGAUGUGAAAACUCAGGGCUCAACCCUGAGACGCCAUCCGAUACUGCAAUGACUAGAGUCCGGUAGGGGAGCAUGGAAUUCCUGGUGUAGCGGUGGAAUGCGCAGAUAUCAGGAGGAACACCAGUGGCGAAGGCGGUGCUCUGGGCCGGUACUGACGCUGAGGAGCGAAAGCAUGGGGAGCAAACAGGAUUAGAAACCCCAGUAGUCC